CAAUUCCGACCUCCUCUUUCGUUGUGAAAAUCCCUAGCUGAUUCGUCGUUAAGAUUGAAAAAAUGGGAGUUAAACAGGCGAUAAAGAGCUUGGAUGCGUUUCCUCGCGCAGAAGAGCAUUUAUUGCAGAAAACGCAAUCUGGAGCUCUUGUUUCAAUUAUUGGUCUUGUAAUAAUGGCUACAUUAUUCUUGCACGAGUUGUCAUAUUAUCUCACUACAUACACGGUUCAUCAGAUGUCUGUGGACUUGAAACGUGGAGAAACGCUUCCAAUUCACAUAAAUGUGACGUUUCCUUCUUUACCUUGUGAUGUCUUGAGCGUGGAUGCAAUUGACAUGUCAGGCAAGCAUGAAGUAGAUCUUGAUACAAACAUAUGGAAACUUCGCUUGAACAAUUAUGGUCAUAUCAUUGGCACUGAAUAUU
RNAcentral lists this unclassified non-coding RNA (420 nucleotides) under Hevea brasiliensis (rubber tree). Lineage: Eukaryota; Viridiplantae; Streptophyta; Magnoliopsida; Malpighiales; Euphorbiaceae. The record is from RNAcentral.